UGACUUAGUAACUUGUUCUGCCUCUUUCUUAUUUUAGGGUAUGACUCUAUCAGAAUAGGGAGUCUCAACCAGUAAGCGCAUCCCCAGAGGUGAGAAGAAAAUGGUUUCGCCACAGUUUAUAUAAAAUUAACAUAAUAUCAAAGCGAUAAAGCAUUUAGCACAUUCAAAAUGAAACAUGUAGGAAAAUCAGAUAAAGCCCAAGUAUAAAAAUUAUUGUAAGCUCGAAUUCUUAAACCCAGAAUUGAUGUUCUGGGUUUGUUUCCCUAGCAGAG
RNAcentral lists this long non-coding RNA (272 nucleotides) under Nicotiana benthamiana. Its description in RNAcentral is "long non-coding RNA (NBEN_LNC006692)". The record is from RNAcentral. Lineage: Eukaryota; Viridiplantae; Streptophyta; Magnoliopsida; Solanales; Solanaceae.